UCAUUUUUGACAGCUGCGUUUUCUGUGAUAAGCUUUGGCUGAAGGUUUGUUUCAUUCCAAAAAUUCAUUUUGUCAUGUUCAUACCAUUAAAAUUGUAUUUUGAAAGGUCAUAAGACUAUACAUAUUCUGGUUAUUCAUGGAUGUUUAAACCCUUGGUUGAUUUUACUUUUGUAUCUUUUGCAGGCGUGGACUUUGAGAUUUGACAUGCACUACUAAUAAAUAUUUUUCAAUUUUAUGGACUCCCAAGAAUCUAUGUUGUAAGAAGAAUGCAUGGAAGUCAAUUUGUUCUCCUUAAGUAGGAUUCCCACAAUGCAUUGUUCUUAAAGAAGGUUAUAAUCAAAGAUGAUCCUCAAGAUGAUGAAAGUGGUGAAGAUUUGAAAUUACUGAAGACAACUAUACUAUGUUAAUUUAAAAAUUUAUAGUACUUGAAUUGAUUUUUAACAUGUGUUUUUACAUAAAAGAGAUUCUAUUAUGUUUCAUAUUAUUAACUAAUGUUUUCUAUACAUAAUAGAGAUUAUAUAACAUUUCAUAUUACUAAUUAGUAUUUUUGAAUAA
This is a long non-coding RNA of Lathyrus oleraceus (garden pea), 555 nucleotides long. RefSeq lists it as uncharacterized. The record is from RefSeq and is a predicted model, not a curated record. The transcript is spliced from 3 exons. Lineage: Eukaryota; Viridiplantae; Streptophyta; Magnoliopsida; Fabales; Fabaceae.